RNAcentral lists this ribosomal RNA (402 nucleotides) under uncultured bacterium. RNAcentral describes it as "bacterial SSU rRNA". It matches the Rfam family "Bacterial small subunit ribosomal RNA", at positions 355 to 774 of the family's 1533-position model. The record is from RNAcentral.
UGGGGAAUCUUGCACAAUGGGGGCAACCCUGAUGCAGCGACGCCGCGUGAGCGAUGAAGCCCUUCGGGGCGUAAAGCUCUUUCGACCGGAACGAUAAUGACGGUACCGGGAGAAGAAGCUGCGGCUAACUACGUGCCAGCAGCCGCGGUAAUACGUAGGCAGCAAGCGUUGUUCGGAGUUACUGGGCGUAAAGAGUGCGUAGGCGGUUUUCUAAGUUCGGUGUGAAAUCUCCCGGCUUAACUGGGAGGGUGCGCCGAAGACUGGGAAGCUGGAGUGUGGGAAAGGCAGGCGGAAUUCCUGGUGUAGCGGUGAAAUGCGUAGAUAUUAGGAGGAACACCGGCGGUGUAGACGGCUUGCUAGACCAUAACUGACGCUGAGGCACGAAAGCGUGGGUAGCAAACA